This 223-nucleotide ribosomal RNA is filed under the name uncultured bacterium. RNAcentral describes it as "partial 16S ribosomal RNA". It matches the Rfam family "Bacterial small subunit ribosomal RNA", at positions 96 to 334 of the family's 1533-position model. The record is from RNAcentral.
UGGCGGACGGGUGAGUAACACGUAAGAAUUUGCCUUUAGGAGGGGGAUAACAACUGGAAACGGUUGCUAAUACCCCAUAUGCUUUCGAGUAAAAUGGAUUUUUCCGCCUAAAGAGAAGCUUGCGGCUGAUUAGCUUGUUGGUGAGGUAAUGGCUUACCAAGGCGACGAUCAGUAGCUGGUCUGAGAGGAUGAUCAGCCACACUGGGACUGAGACACGGCCCAG